UGUAGGGGGCUGGCUGGGAAUGAAACGAAAUUCAGCACGGAAUUCCACAUGCAGAACAGGGUACCCCCGCUGCCAAUAUCUGAAGGAGCUGAGAGGCAGAAGAUAGGGAGGCCUACACCAGCAGGAAAACGAGAAGCCCACACACAAGGCCCCACCAUGGAAAAUGUGCUGUGGUUUAAUGCCAAUGAUUUUCUGUGUUGCCCAUCAUGAAAAGUUCUAUUUACAAUCUGGAAACUACAAUCAUUUGAAUAAUACCUUACGAAGAGGUGGAGUGGAAUGAGAGACACAGAAGGAAUUUAAGAACACCUCAACCUCAGUCACUCAUCUGUUUUUUUGAACUGCAAUCAGCUGUGUCUUUCAGCUGCCUUUGGUUGUUCCAUCGAUUCUGGGAAUUGCUGUUCAAGUGCAUCUAGCUGGAAAUUCUAUGUACAAAAUGUAUUAAUACAAAAAAUGACAAUAUAACAAUAUGUUUAUAUGUAAGAAAAUUUCCUAAGAAGUCCACUAUAGAGUGAUAAGUAAUAAUGUAUUAAAUGCUCUUAAGUUAACUACUUGUCUAGUAACCUAUGGCAACCACCAGGUAGUACAGGUCAAAUAUUUUAAAACAAAUAUCUGAUUGGUUGGGUUACUAGAUGUAGGCAAACUUAAAAAUUUUCAUUACAUUACCAGGUUAGUACAUAGGCCAAGCACCCUCAUUGCUCUAAUUGUAU
Xenopus tropicalis (tropical clawed frog) is the source of this 707-nucleotide long non-coding RNA. RefSeq lists it as uncharacterized. NCBI's taxonomy places the organism in Eukaryota, Metazoa, Chordata, Amphibia, Anura, Pipidae. The transcript has 3 exons. The record is from RefSeq and is a predicted model, not a curated record.